Zingiber officinale is the source of this 1169-nucleotide long non-coding RNA. RefSeq lists it as uncharacterized. The record is from RefSeq and is a predicted model, not a curated record. Lineage: Eukaryota; Viridiplantae; Streptophyta; Magnoliopsida; Zingiberales; Zingiberaceae. The transcript has 5 exons.
UCGCUCCUAACCUAAUUCCUUCUCAUACCCGAGCCUCCUCACUCGAGCAAGUCGCGCACCUUGCAUGGUGGUGAGGAUGCCUGGGCCAUGGCGACAAGGACACCCACGGCAGUAAGGACGUUGGCGGCCGCUUUAAAGCCGCCAUUGGUAAGCCUCCAGUGCUCAACAUCCUCACCUUGGCCAAGAUCGAAAGCGACCAAAUCAAGCCUCCCCAACAAGUUAUCCCCAAGUAUGUCAAGUGUUUCUCCUACGAUGAUGGCUCCGAUCUCCUCGAGGUCCGACUCUAAGGCCCCUGCUAUGUGCACUACGAAGAUGGGCUCACCUACUUCGACAGCGAGGUGAGGGGGAACCUCAGCUACGGCACGCUCCGUAGGGUGGUCGGGUGGGCAUAGGAGGAGCUGUUCCUUAAAUUCCCGAUCAAGGGGAUCAUGGUCACCGAUCCCACCUCUGGCAUGAUCCACUUUGACAUCGGCAUCGCCCGCAAGCGCCUUGCUGCCUCUGCCUUCGACAUGCCGCCGGAAUGCCGCCCGGAAGUGGAAGAAGCGACCGUCAGAAUAGUUCCUUUGCAGAGUCAUUGCAAAUAGUUGGUGGAUUUCUUCAUCAGAGUUGAUCAUCAUAAAAAAAAUAAUUCAUAAAAUUGCCAAUGGUUGCCUUACUCAAGUUGAGGUUAAGAUCCAAGGUUUUGUUCUUAUUGCAAAGGGUUUAUUUGCAUCUUUCAAGGAUGAGGCUAUCUUCUCCAUUCUCUCUGAUCACCAAAAGAAGGAACAAAAUAGAGAAAAACAAAAUGUUGAUGACUACUCUACUCAUUCUUCAUUCAAUCUUCAAUCUUGAUGUGAUGUGGUGGGUGGAAAAUUUGCUAGAGGGUUACAAUCUACAGUGAUGAGAUGUGAUGAGUGACUCAUGUAAGGGGAGGGUGUAUGAAGUUCAACACGAUUGACACUUUGGAAGAUCAAACCACUCAAGUUUCAACAAAUUUGCUCUAAUAAGAAGAAUAAAGAAUUAUCAUAAAAAGUUGAAGACAUGCAGCUACUAGCAAGAGGAUGGAGGAAGAAAUUAUUAAAAGGAAAAGAAAAUUGGAAUUGUAAUGUGUGAUUGCUUUUAUCUUAAAACUAUGUGAAUAUUUAUUUAUCUCAAUGUUAAUCAUAUUGUACUUUUGGAUUUAGAAAUUA